Molecule: unclassified non-coding RNA, 338 nt
Filed under: Hevea brasiliensis (rubber tree)
Lineage: Eukaryota; Viridiplantae; Streptophyta; Magnoliopsida; Malpighiales; Euphorbiaceae
Source: RNAcentral
GUGCCUUUUUCCGAACACGACGUAUGUCUUCAGUGCUCAUAAGUUGUUGACGUAUUGUGUCUCCAUGCAAAACCAUCAUAUCAUCCAUAAGCACCUUCUUCUUUGAGGUGCCAACUCGGAGUGCAGAUCGUGGGCGUUUCAAGGAUAUUGUUUCAUGCACAGGAGGUGACGGUUUCAUUUUCAAAACCGAAGAUCUUCUUCCAACUAAAAUAGAUGAUAACAAAUCAUCAUCAUCAGGAAUGGAUUCUAUAACCCUCUUAGAUCGAUGCACCCCAACUGACUCAGCUGAGUUCAAACUCUGGGCUGUUAAAGUACUUUCAGUAAAGCUUCGCUUCUUU